Non-coding RNA from Taeniopygia guttata (zebra finch), 625 nucleotides. The record is from RefSeq and is a predicted model, not a curated record. Lineage: Eukaryota; Metazoa; Chordata; Aves; Passeriformes; Estrildidae.
CGUGGUUCUGAUAUUUUUCACCCAAAUUACAACCAGGCCAGAAGAGCACUGAAACAGGUUAAAGAUGAAGAUCCUGGGCUUCAGUGAAGUUGCUGUCAGAAGUGUUGCACUGGGAAAACUGCUUUUGGCUGGUUAUUGGCAGUGCUUUCAGAAAAAGCAGCUUUCUACUCCUCUGAAGUACUGAUCCAGAAAUGCCCUUGAUCAGUAUUCUGGACACCAGAUUAAUAUUAAGGCAUCUUAGAUGUCCCCCAGAGGAUUGCUGGAUCUAGCAAUGGUCAGACACAGAGACAGAAACAUCCAGGGCAGCCAACCAAAUCACAAAGGAGAAACCACCUGUGGGAAAUCUCACUGUGAGCACAGUGGGCAUUUGAGCUGCUGCUCCUGGAGAUGAGCAUUGACAGCAGCUUGUGCUGAAUUAGCUGCAAGUGAAGCUGCAGAGCUGCUCCACAGCCAAACUCCCCGUGGCUGUCAGCAGCGUCCACCCCACCACGUGCAGCGCCUGGGGACCUUCCAGGAUCAGCAGGCUGUGAAGUGGCUUUGCACAGCUGUGGGAAAUGGAAAAAUAAAAACUUCCAGAGGCACUGAAGGGUUUGGUCUGCAGCCUUAAAAGAAGCUUGGAUUGAUG